Molecule: RNA transcript, 3920 nt
Organism: Paramisgurnus dabryanus
Lineage: Eukaryota; Metazoa; Chordata; Actinopteri; Cypriniformes; Cobitidae
Gene: lrrtm4l1
Gene name: leucine rich repeat transmembrane neuronal 4 like 1
Source: RefSeq, a predicted model, not a curated record
UCACCUUUAUUAUGACUGUAGAAGACCUGGAGGCGGGUGCGCGCAAUCUGUAUCACCACGCGCGGUGAUAUUUCUCAGGGACUGCGGCGGUGGCGAGCACUGAAUUCCUCUCACGCAAAGCCCACGGAUGUUGACUUAACACUCUCUCUAGCCUUCUUUUACUCCUGAUAGUCUCUCUGUUGGACGGUCGAUAAGCGUUCGCAUAAUUAAAGAUUUUUCCUCUAAUUAUGCGAACGAGAACAACUUUUGCUCGUAUCUUUUGAGACUGCCGCUCGACGAGAAUUUAAUCAUAUUCUGUGUGAACGACGGUUGACCAUCAUCAUGUUGUUAAAUGCUACGGGAUGUGUACCGGUUUGCCGUGUGGGAAUGAGUGGCAUAUUUUAGGUCAUUUGCGCCAUGGAGCCAAAUCUGAAGCGAUAAUGUUAUUUGUGCUGUAAUAGUGCUCGGACCACAGGUAAAAGUGUUUGUGGAGUGGAGGCUGACAGACUGAAGCUGCGCGGUUACCGCAGGGAUUAAACGCGAGCGGAAUCAAGAGCGCGCAGCUGAUAUGGGUUCUGUUGUAUGUGACAAGAGAUUAGCGGGCCUCAUCUUUCUCCAAGCCUCCUCCCUCUUGCUGUUGGGUUCUGGUGAAAGGAUGUGCCCUUAUAGCUGCAGCUGCGAGGGAAAGAUCGUCCAUUGUGAGUCAGCUGGCUUCCAGGACAUCCCAGAAAAUAUUUCUAUCAGUUGCCAAGGUCUCUCCCUGCGCUACAAUGACCUGCACACAAUGCUCCCCUAUCAGUUUGCCCAUCUUAACCAGCUUCUCUGGCUGUACCUGGACCACAAUCAAAUCGCAUUUGUGGAUAGCCGUGCUUUUCAGGGGCUGCGACGGUUGAAGGAAUUGAUCUUGAGCUCUAAUAGGAUAUCACAGCUUCAUAACAUCACUUUUCACGGAGCACCUAACCUCCGAAGUCUUGAUCUCUCUUAUAACAAGUUGCAGGAGCUGCAGCCAGGCCAGUUUUUUGGUCUUCGAAAACUGCAAAAUCUGCACUUGCGUUCCAACGGGCUCACUACGAUACCGGUCCGGGCCUUUUUAGAGUGCAGGAGCUUGGAGUUUCUGGACUUGGGUUAUAAUCGGCUUCGUGUUGUCACUCGCACUGCGUUCUUGGGGUUAUCUCGACUCAUGGAGCUCCACCUGGAGCACAACCAGUUUUCGCGAAUCAAUUUCUUUCUCUUUCCUCGUCUUGUUAAUCUUCGUGCCCUUUAUCUACAAUGGAACCGCAUUCGAGCUGUUAAUCAAGGCCUUCCGUGGAGCUGGUACACCUUGCAGAAACUUGACGUCUCUGGCAAUGAGAUACAGACACUAGAUCCUGUAGUAUUUCAGUGCCUACCUAAUCUUCAGGUUCUCAACUUGGAGUCUAACAAACUGGCUAAUGUGUCUCAGCAAGUUGUGGCCGCCUGGAUUUCCCUAACCACUAUUAGCCUUGCAGGUAACAUGUGGGAUUGUGGACCUGGCAUUUGUCCUCUCGUCGUCUGGCUCAAGAAUUUUAGAGGCACUAAGGACACUAGUAUAAUCUGCAGCAGUCCCAAGCAACUUCAAGGGGAAAAGGUCAUGGAGGCUACAAAAAACUACAUUGACUGUGAUGAUUAUGAAAUCACUGCUCAAUCACCACUGUAUCUCCAAACCUUUGAGCCAAGUUUUGAACUUACCUAUGAACCAGAUGAACCAACAAUGGAUCCUUCAACAUCCCCUCCACCCCUGCCGUCACCUGCCUCCGAGGCACCCAUACUUCCUCAACUCCCCACCUUUCCCAGCCGUACAAAUACACAUCCCAGAGACCCCCACUGGACAUCCUCAUCUUCCAAUAGCUUAUUAGUGACACCAGCUCCUGAUCAGGACGUGUCUUUCCACAAAGUGGUGAUGGGAGGUGUUGCCCUGUUCCUGUCGGUGUCAGUUGUGUUGUCAGUCAUUUACAUCUCCUGGAAACGUUACCCCGGUGCCACCCGGCUAUUGCAGCAGAGUUCAGUUGUGGGUCGAAAGCGGAGGAAAAAGAGUCAGGAGCCAGAACAGAACCUGAGCUCCCAGCUCCAGGAAUAUUACAUGAGCUACAACCCUGCAGCCACACCAGAAGCCAUGGAGGUGCUGGGCAAUGGGACAGGUACCUGCACCUGCACCAUAUCCGGCUCCAGGGAAUGUGAGGUAUGACAUGUGAAAGGCAGCCUAAAAUCAAAUCAGAUCAAAACAAAUGAACGGCUCAGGACAUAGAGAAUGAAUACACCUGUCCUAGACCAUUACCAGGGACUUGGAUCGGAGACUUGCCCACCAUACACUAAAGGGAACGUUUUGUUCAGCACGAAAUAAUCCACCUUUUUACCUACCGACGUUUUAUCAAUCACAUCAACUUUUGCUCCCAUAAUGCCACUCACGCUUUUACUGCUUUGAGAUCUGGAUAUAAUCGAAUCGGAAAUCCGAAAAGGAUUCACUACAGCCGGACGAUUCUUCGGAUGCAUAUUUUAUUAAAAGGAUGUUUCGUUUAUUUGGAUGGCCCACUUUGUACUUUAAUUCACAGAGACUGAAACUGUGAUGAGGACUUCAGAUGGGCCAUAUGAAACAGGGUCAUAUUGCUUGAUUGAAGAGCAGUGGAUCAUACCAAUGAAAGUUAUCCAGCCUUUGAUUAACUACCCAGCGCCAAUAAACUGAACUUUACAUAAACUGUGCGACGAAUCCACAGUCUUUGUUGAUAGACCCUCAGAUUAAAACCCAUCCUUUGUUAUUUAAUGUAAAUUUGUGUAUCAGAAUAACUCAUAAUAAAAAACGACUUUGAUUUCAAACUGCUGUCUAAUACUGGAUUUGCUUGACUUUUGCAAAUCUCUGUACAGUUUUGUUUAAGUAGCGUUUACAUGCCGUUUAUAACACUAAUACACUUUGUUCUGUUAUGCAGACUUCUUCAGACAUGGACUAUGAACUCGAACUAUGCCAACAUUGACGUAUAUAAUGACAUUUUAUUGGACUGUGUUUAAACAUUGGGAUGUUUGUAAGCUACGCAAAUGUGUGUGUGUGUGUAACUAUCAAGGUUUAAAAUAUGGAUAAGACAUUUUAAAUGCCAGUGUGAAGUGUGUAUUUUUAUUACAAUUUUAAAAUGCUGUAUUUUCUCAAGAAGUGAGAAAAGGUUAACUUCCCCGACAAUGAAAAACCAUUAAUUUCUCUCAUAAUUUACUCAACCUUAUGCCAUCCUAGAUUUAUAAGACUUAAUUUCUUUUUCAAUAACAAAUGUUUGGCGACUUCUUGUUACUGUGUUUUGUCACGAGACACAAAAAACCAUAGACUUUAAAAAAAGAUGGACGACGCCUGUUCGCUCCCUUCCAUUGGUGAACAGUGAAGCCGCCAUUGUCCCGCACUGCGCUGACAUCUUGGGUCUUGAGUCUGCGCAAUAGCGAUUUCGGGACCAGUCAUGCGCAGUAGUGAGCAGGAAGUACAGCAGCGAAAUCAAAACCCCGCCCUCACUCUCGCAGAAUGCGCAUAUCACAGCUGUCAAUCAUGACGUGACACCACCGUUUUUAUAUCAUUAAAUAACUAACUAAACACAAAGUUAUUUUAAAAACAAACAUAUGAAUUUACAUCAGUGUGAUAAAAACUACAAUAAAUGACAGAAACCAGGUUCAGAAAAAAGAUCAUUGAAGUGUAAUUAAUUUUUUUAGUUGGUCUCAAGUCCCAUUGAAUAACAUGGGGAGGCGGGGUUUAUGACCUAUACUGGGACCAGUCACUGGGGGGCGAUCGAGACGUUUUGGCUUCACUUUUCAUGGCUUGUGCGGCACGCUUGCAAAAAACAAUCAGAUUUAGCAUUGAAUAUUGGGGUGCCACCAUACCGCUUUUUUGUUUCUAUAAACUUUGCUAGCGUACAAACGUAUAACUUUGCUUCAGAACACAUUAACCCAUUUGGUCA